UUAGUUGGCGGUGUAACGGACCACCAAGACGACGAUGCGUAGGGGUUCUGAGAGGAAGGUCCCCCACACUGGUACUGAGACACGGACCAGACUCCUACGGGAGGCAGCAGUGAGGAAUAUUGGUCAAUGGGCGGGAGCCUGAACCAGCCAAGUCGCGUGAGGGAUGACGGCCCUAUGGGUUGUAAACCUCUUUUGCCGGGGAGCAAAGUGCCGCACGUGUGCGGUUUGGAGAGUACCCGGAGAAAAAGCAUCGGCUAACUCCGUGCCAGCAGCCGCGGUAAUACGGAGGAUGCGAGCGUUAUCCGGAUUUAUUGGGUUUAAAGGGUGCGUAGGCGGACGCUUAAGUCAGCGGUAAAAUUGCGGGGCUCAACCUCGUCGAGCCGUUGAAACUGGGUGCCUUGAGUGGGCGAGGAGUACGCGGAAUGCGUGGUGUAGCGGUGAAAUGCAUAGAUAUCACGCAGAACUCCGAUUGCGAAGGCAGCGUACCGGCGCCCAACUGACGCUGAAGCACGAAGGCGUGGGUAUCGAACAGGAUUAGAUACCCUGGUAGUCCACGCAGUAAACGAUGAAUGCUAGUUGUCCGGGGCGAUUGAGUUCUGG
Molecule: ribosomal RNA, 600 nt
Filed under: uncultured bacterium
Lineage: Bacteria
Description: bacterial SSU rRNA
Rfam family: Bacterial small subunit ribosomal RNA
Source: RNAcentral